RNAcentral lists this ribosomal RNA (263 nucleotides) under uncultured bacterium. RNAcentral's name for it is "partial 16S ribosomal RNA". It matches the Rfam family "Bacterial small subunit ribosomal RNA", at positions 91 to 354 of the family's 1533-position model. The record is from RNAcentral.
CUUAGUGGCGGACUGGUGAGUAACGCGUGAGGAACCUGCCUUCCANAGGGGGACAACAGUUGGAAACAGGUGCUAAUACCGCAUAAGCGCACAGGGCCGCAUGGCCCGGUGUGAAAAACUCCGGUGGUGUAAGAUGGACCCGCGUCUGAUUAGCUUGUUGGCGGGGUAGAGGCCCACCAAGGCGACGAUCAGUAGCCGGCCUGAGAGGGUGGACGGCCACAUUGGGACUGAGACACGGCCCAAACUCCUACGGAAGGCAGCAG